Molecule: ribosomal RNA, 1533 nt
Filed under: Bifidobacterium thermophilum
Lineage: Bacteria; Bacillati; Actinomycetota; Actinomycetes; Bifidobacteriales; Bifidobacteriaceae
Also listed under: 1 other name
Description: bacterial SSU rRNA
Rfam family: Bacterial small subunit ribosomal RNA
Source: RNAcentral
AGAGUUUGAUCAUGGCUCAGGAUGAACGCUGGCGGCGUGCUUAACACAUGCAAGUCGAACGGGAUCCUGCGGGCUUUGCCUGCGGGUGAGAGUGGCGAACGGGUGAGUAAUGCGUGACCAACCUGCCCCAUGCUCCGGAAUAGCUCCUGGAAACGGGUGGUAAUGCCGGAUGUUCCCGCGCCCCGCAUGGGGUGCGGGGAAAAGCUUUUGCGGCGUGGGAUGGGGUCGCGUCCUAUCAGCUUGUUGGCGGGGUGAGGGCCCACCAAGGCUUCGACGGGUAGCCGGCCUGAGAAGGCGACCGGCCACAUUGGGACUGAGAUACGGCCCAGACUCCUACGGGAGGCAGCAGUGGGGAAUAUUGCACAAUGGGCGCAAGCCUGAUGCAGCGACGCCGCGUGCGGGAUGGAGGCCUUCGGGUUGUAAACCGCUUUUGUUUGGGAGCAAGCCCUUCGGGGUGAGUGUACCUUUCGAAUAAGCACCGGCUAAAUACGUGCCAGCAGCCGCGGUAAUAAGUAGGGUGCGAGCGUUAUCCGGAUUUAUUGGGCGUAAAGGGCUUGUAGGCGGUUUGUCGCGUCCGGUGUGAAAGUCCAUCGCCUAACGGUGGAUUUGCGCCGGGUACGGGCGGGCUGGAGUGCGGUAGGGGAGACUGGAAUUCCCGGUGUAACGGUGGAAUGUGUAGAUAUCGGGAAGAACACCAAUGGCGAAGGCAGGUCUUUGGGCCGUUACUGACGCUGAGGAGCGAAAGCGUGGGGAGCGAACAGGAUUAGAUACCCUGGUAGUCCACGCCGUAAACGGUGGAUGCUGGAUGUGGGGCCCUUCCACGGGUCCCGUGUCGGGGCCAACGCGUUAAGCAUCCCGCCUGGGGAGUACGGCCGCAAGGCUAAAACUCAAAGAAAUUGACGGGGGCCCGCACAAGCGGCGGAGCAUGCGGAUUAAUUCGAUGCAACGCGAAAAACCUUACCUGGGCUUGACAUGUUCCCGACGACGGCAGAGAUGUCGUUUCCCUUCGGGGCGGGUUCACAGGUGGUGCAUGGUCGUCGUCAGCUCGUGUCGUGAGAUGUUGGGUCAAGUCCCGCAACGAGCGCAACCCUCGCCCCGUGUUGCCAGCGCGUCUUGGCGGGAACUCACCGGGGACCGCCGGGGUUUACCCGGAGGAAGGUGGGGAUGACGUCAGAUCAUCAUGCCCCUUACGUCCAGGGCUUCACGGCAUGCUACAAUGGCCGGGUACAGGCGGGGAUGCAGACAUGGUGACAUGGAGCGGGAUCCCUGAAAACCGGUCUCAGUUCGGGAUCGGAGCGUGCAACCCGGCUCGGUGAAGGCGGAGUCGGCUAAGUAAUCGCGGAUCAGCAACGCCGCGGUGAAUGCGUUCCCGGGCCUUGUACACACCGCCCGUCAAGUCAUGAAAGUGGGCAGCACCCGAAGCCGGUGGCCUGACCAGUAUUGCUGGGGGGAGCCGUCUAAGGUGAGGCUCGCGAUUGGGAGUAAGUCGUAACAAGGUAGCCGUACCGGAAGGUGCGGCUGGAUCACCUCCUU